GUGCCAGCCGCCGCGGUAAUACGGAGGGGGUUAGCGUUGUUCGGAAUUACUGGGCGUAAAGCGCGCGUAGGCGGACAUUUAAGUCAGGGGUGAAAUCCCGGGGCUCAACCCCGGAACUGCCUCCAAAACUAUCGGUCUUGAGUUCGAGAGAGGUGAGUGGAACUCCGAGUGUAGAGGUGAAAUUCGUAGAUAUUCGGAAGAACACCAGUGGCGAAGGCGGCUCACUGGCUCGAUACUGACGCUGAGGUGCGAAAGUGUGGGGAGCAAACAGGAUUAGAAACCCGGUAGUCC
This 291-nucleotide ribosomal RNA is filed under the name uncultured bacterium. Its description in RNAcentral is "partial 16S ribosomal RNA". It matches the Rfam family "Bacterial small subunit ribosomal RNA", at positions 505 to 796 of the family's 1533-position model. The record is from RNAcentral.